This 195-nucleotide ribosomal RNA is filed under the name uncultured bacterium. Its description in RNAcentral is "partial small subunit ribosomal RNA". It matches the Rfam family "Bacterial small subunit ribosomal RNA", at positions 337 to 524 of the family's 1533-position model. The record is from RNAcentral.
UCCUACGGGAGGCAGCAGUGGGGAAUAUUGGACAAUGGGCGCAAGCCUGAUGCAGCCAUGCCGCGUGUGUGAAGAAGGCCUUCGGGUUGUAAAGCACUUUCAGUCAGGAGGAAAGAUUAGUAGUUAAUACCUGCUAGUUGUGACGUUACUGACAGAAGAAGCACCGGCUAACUCCGUGCCAGCAGCCGCGGUAAU